RNAcentral lists this ribosomal RNA (274 nucleotides) under uncultured bacterium. Its description in RNAcentral is "partial 16S ribosomal RNA". It matches the Rfam family "Bacterial small subunit ribosomal RNA", at positions 523 to 796 of the family's 1533-position model. The record is from RNAcentral.
AUACGGAGGGAGCGAGCGUUAAUCGGAAUUACUGGGCGUAAAGCGCGCGUAGGCGGCUUUGUAAGUCGGAUGUGAAAGCCCUGGGCUUAACCUGGGAAUGGCAUUCGAUACUGCAGAGCUAGAGUAUGGUAGAGGGAAGUGGAAUUUCCGGUGUAGCGGUGAAAUGCGUAGAUAUCGGAAGGAACACCAGUGGCGAAGGCGACUUCCUGGGCCAAUACUGACGCUGAGGUGCGAAAGCGUGGGGAGCAAACAGGAUUAGAUACCCGAGUAGUCC